CUCCUACGGGAGGCAGCAGUGAGGAAUAUUGGUCAAUGGACGAGAGUCUGAACCAGCCAAGUAGCGUGAAGGAUGAAGGUCCUACGGAUUGUAAACUUCUUUUAUAAGGGAAUAAACCCUCCCACGUGUGGGAGCUUGUAUGUACCUUAUGAAUAAGCAUCGGCUAACUCCGUGCCAGCAGCCGCGGUAAUACGGAGGAUGCGAGCGUUAUCCGGAUUUAUUGGGUUUAAAGGGAGCGCAGACGGGUCGUUAAGUCAGCUGUGAAAGUUUGGGGCUCAACCUUAAAAUUGCAGUUGAUACUGGCGUCCUUGAGUGCGGUUGAGGUGUGCGGAAUUCGUGGUGUAGCGGUGAAAUGCUUAGAUAUCACGAAGAACUCCGAUUGCGAAGGCAGCACACUAAUCCGUAACUGACGUUCAUGCUCGAAAGUGUGGGUAUCAAACAGGAUUAGAUACCCUGGUAGUCCACACGGUAAACGAUGGAUACUCGCUGUUGGCGAUAUACUGUCAGCGGCUUAGCGAAAGCGUUAAGUAUCCCACCUGGGGAGUACGCCGGCAACGGUGAAACUCAAAGGAAUUGACGGGGGCCCGCACAAGCGGAGGAACAUGUGGUUUAAUUCGAUGAUACGCGAGGAACCUUACCCGGGCUUAAAUUGCAAAGGAAUAAUCUGGAAACAGAUUAGUCUUCGGACCUUUGUGAAGGUGCUGCAUGGUUGUCGUCAGCUCGUGCCGUGAGGUGUCGGCUUAAGUGCCAUAACGAGCGCAACCCUCGCCGCCAGUUACUAGCAGGUAAUGCUGAGGACUCUGGCGGGACUGCCAUCGUAAGAUGUGAGGAAGGUGGGGAUGACGUCAAAUCAGCACGGCCCUUACGUCCGGGGCUACACACGUGUUACAAUGGGCGGUACAGAAGGCAGCUACCUGGCGACAGGAUGCCAAUCCCUAAAGCCGCUCUCAGUUCGGACUGGAGUCUGCAACCCGACUCCACGAAGCUGGAUUCGCUAGUAAUCGCGCAUCAGCCACGGCGCGGUGAAUACGUUCCCGGGCCUUGUACACACCGCA
RNAcentral lists this ribosomal RNA (1055 nucleotides) under uncultured bacterium. RNAcentral's name for it is "bacterial SSU rRNA". It matches the Rfam family "Bacterial small subunit ribosomal RNA", at positions 336 to 1394 of the family's 1533-position model. The record is from RNAcentral.